UUUUGCAGAUAUAAGCUUAUUUAAGAAGUUACAAGCAUUUUGUUAGUAUUUGGUCCAACAUACUUUUUUAACAUAUUUUGGGUAUGCUGAAUCCAAAAAUAUUUGUUGGCCAUCUGGCAAAUGCCUCUGAAAGGGUUAAAAAUGUGGGCAAAUAUGACCACUAUUUUUAACAAAAAAAUUUCCGUCGAUAUUACUUUAUAAUACAAAUCUUUAUCUUUAGAUAUGUUUCAACAAAUUAUUUCAUGUUAUUAGUAUGACUGAGUAAACAUUUUUCAAUAAAAUAUAUCACAAGUUAAAAAUGUGAACUUUACGGGGUUCAAAAAGGGGAAUUUGAAGACAAUUUAGAAAAAUAAUAUAAAAAAUAACCCUACAUCAUUUAUAGAAUAGAAAAAUGAGACUAAGUAUUAGAUUGAAAACUUCCGCUGGAAUUUUAAUGUCAAAUAGAAAAUAUUUUUGAUGAAAUGGUUUUGCAGUUUUAAAAUAGUCAUUUAAGAAAAAAAUAAACAAUGGGGAAGUUAAAACUUAAUUAACAUGACAUUGUCUGUAAUGAACAAAAUACCAUGUAGGACAUAUUUUAUCCUUGUAAGAUCAUUUUAUUUAAUAAUCAACUUUUUAAUACCUUAGCAUCAUAAUAAUUGAUGAAAAUUAAGUGUGACAGGGAUUAAGAUUAAGGCUAAUGUGAACUUAAUUAGUAUAAACAAUCCAGGUCUCUAUCACAAUAACAAUCUGAGUCAAAUCAUGUUUUUGUUAAAGUCCUUAUCUAAACUCUUGUGUUUUACCUGUUCUUCAAUGCAAAUUAACUCUGACAAGAACACACUCUUUCAUGAUCAUUAAGGUUUUAGAGGUGUCAAGAAUACUUCAUGAAAUCAGGACUUUUCGAAGGACAUUUUACAGGUGUUAAAAUAUUCCAAAGUAAGAAUGGACAAGACUUUGCAUCUCAAGAGACCAUUUCAAGAUGGCACAAAAUGGUGCAUCAUUUGUCAGGAGGCAAAAUCUGACAAAACUUGAAACUAAACAGCCUCAAGGCAUAACAUCUCUAAAAGAAUUUGCUGAAUCAAGAUUUCUUUUAGAGAUUUUUUCUAAAUAUGAAGCCAUUAGUAGAAUUGAAAAAAUAGAUGAAAAUGACAAAAUACGUUGCCAUAGAAAGUGUUAUUCUAAUUUUGUCCACAAAGAACUCAGUCAAAGCUAAGUUUAAUAUAGAACAAACAUCAAAUAAAGCUGCAUCCUCAUAAAACUUAUCAUAUACUCCUACUAAACUGGGAAAUGGAUAUGUUCUAUCGGGACAAAAAACAAAACAAAAAAAAACAAAAAAAAAAAAAAAAAAAAAACAUGAAAAACAUAACAAGUCAGUGUUUUAAAGGAUGCGAUUAUGACUCUCUGAUGUCAACAGAGGGCAAACAAAAUAAAAAUAUUUAAAUUCUUUUAGAUACGGAGUUCGCAAAACCAAGUCGGACAACUCAAAUACAGAUCUUGCCUAAUGUUUCUUAUACAUGAACGUGGGUAUGCUGCAAUAAAAUCGCAAAUACUGCAGCUUUCAGACAGUUGGAACAGAUACCGCAUACGUACUGAAGAGACUUCUUCAACAAUUCUUUGUCAUUUAAUUCUAGAAUAUCAUCUUUCAAAGAAGCCCUACAACGUAAACUGAGAAACCAGUUUUAAUUUGUAACUCCACUACAUAUAUAUUCUAAUGAAAGGAAUGCACUUCUUGUUCUAUAUGAAUGUGCUGCGUCAAUGCUUAGAGAUGCCCAUCAUAAUAUUACUGGUAAUAGUGAUGAACGGCUGACAGUACAGAAAUAUAAUUCCAGUGACGACUUCUUGUCAUUAGUACACGUAGCACUUAGAUUAAGGGCUAAUUUGUUCUCUCUGGAAGGACAUUCUGGACUGAGUGUGACUAAAAAUGAUUCAGUAAACUGUGUUCCGGAGUGUCUGUUCAUGUUCUGUAUUUAACGUAUGGUGGCCAAGAGCUUCUAGAUGAAGAAUUUGACCACAAAGAUCCUGAAUCUGAUAGGCAAACAAAAAUAUUAAGUGUAGCACAAGAUAUUGUUUAUGGAGUGAGUGAUGGUAAAAAAAUGGAACCCUUAACACAUAGAUCUUGCAAGUACAUUGCACUAGAUGACUAGGUUAAAACAUUCAGUUAACCUAUUUUAUACUGCAGGACACACAUAGAGCUACAGAGACAUACUAAGAGUAGACACAUCUUUAGCUGAAAAAAACCAACCUGGAAUCAAUGGAUCCUGAAACUGGUUAUGUUAUUCCGCUGAAUCGUAAUGAGAAUGAGAUAUCGACACAUGAAACACUGUUGUUCAAAAAUGUAUGCAUAUAUCAAAAGACUGGGACAGUCGCAUUUAGUUAUAACUGUUGACCAGGCUCUUUACUUUAAGCUUGUGGAUUUGAAAUGGGCAAUGCCCUGGAAUGGGUGGUUUCAAUGAAUUAUUUGAAAUCUGGUGUAACUUUUUUAGCACUUCCUGCAAAUAAAAUUGACGUAGUAGAUUUUUUACUAGAAGCUGAUCAUGCAGUUGCCUACAGAAAGGCCGUUGGUUGUUGGCGUCAGCUUUUAAGAAGAAGGAACUAUUGAAACCACUGCCAUUGAACUUAAUUUGGAUGAAUUAAAGGCUAAACGCGAGGAAGCUGACACAAGAAUCAUUCUCCAUGCUGUUCGCUGCAGUAAACGAUCAAAUUGUAACAAUGUUGUUGUUUCUGCCAGAGAUACUGACGUAUUUGCUCUAACUAUGCCACUUGCAGGAAUUAAAUGCAACAGUAUGGAUGAUGGCUGGAGCAGUGAAAAAAAACGAAAAUACAUUCAAGUGAACACAGUGUUAAAUAAAUCCUCAAUAACUGAAGAGUUGCGUAGAAAUUUACUUGCCUUUCAUGCACUCACUGGCUGAGACACAACAUCAAAUUUCUGUGGAAUCUCUAAAGAUCUGUAUUUGAAGUGUUUACAGCCAGUGCAAAACUGAUAGGUCUUGGAUAUGGACAACUGUCUGAUGAAGUAACGAAAAACUGAAUAUUUUAUUUGCAAAAUGUAUGGCCAAGAUGCUGUAAGUACUGACAGUGCUCAAAAUGUUAAUGUUUGGCAGGUCUAUAAGUCCUGAACACAUACCUCCAACCAGUGAUGCUUGCUCAUUUCACAUUAGAAGAGCUCAUUAUCAAGCCCUGGUAUGGAACCAAUCAACUGUCCUCAAUGCAGACCUGCCUGCACCUUCCGACAUGGGAUGGAAGGUGGCAGAUGACACACUUAAGCCAGUUCUUAUUACCCGUGAUCCAAUUCCUCAAGCUUGUAUUGAGUUCAUUGCUUGCAAGUGUACACCUGGAUGUAGGACCCUCAGAUGUAAAUGUAAAAGACUGGGCUCUUAAGCACAGAUAUAAAUUAUGUAUAUGCGAUAAAAGCAUUACCAGCUGUAUGAACUCGAGGCAUGAAAUGAACAUGACAUUAACAUGAAAUGGAACUGUGAAAGCAAAUAUUUCAAUCUAUAUUAUUUUGAAAUAAUUAUAUGAUAAACAGUUUAGCUUCUGUCCUAUAAAAUAAUUCCAAAUAUAAAAUUAGUGUACUGUA
Long non-coding RNA from Mercenaria mercenaria, 3553 nucleotides. RefSeq lists it as uncharacterized. NCBI's taxonomy places the organism in Eukaryota, Metazoa, Mollusca, Bivalvia, Venerida, Veneridae. The transcript has 2 exons. The record is from RefSeq and is a predicted model, not a curated record.